Struthio camelus australis is the source of this 526-nucleotide non-coding RNA. The record is from RefSeq and is a predicted model, not a curated record. Lineage: Eukaryota; Metazoa; Chordata; Aves; Struthioniformes; Struthionidae.
AGCACGGAUGUGCAGGAAUGGCUGACUCUGAUAAUGCCGCGUUCAUCUCAGCGAUCCCAAAGAGCAUGACCGGAGGAGUCAGCCUUGCCCGGAGGGGACCGCAGCGGCCGGUUCAUCGACCCCAAAGACGCCACUUGGCAGCUUAGGAUGUGGCAGCGAUGGCAGAGGGAAAGGCAGGUCGGCUUGCUUUGGGAAGAGCAGAAAAGCAGAGACAGAGGGAUCCCCUCCAAGACAUCGUUGCUGCGUUCAGACGCUGCCGGCAAGGGGCUGUACCCGCCGGAGGAACCAGCCCCGUCUGGAAGCACCUGCAAGCUAGCCAAGAACGAGACCUCUCCAUGGUAACUGCAGUUUACCGGAAAGUGAGAAAAUCCUGCAUUCGAGAGAGCUAAGUGACUUGUUACAGUUCAGCGCAACCACGAUAAAAAAGCAAAAAAAGUAAAUAUGGUGUUUCCUCUGCGGGAACGUUCUCUUCUCUUUCUCUUUCCAGCUGGAAAAACAAAACAAAAUAAAAGGUCUUUCUGCUUUA